Molecule: transfer RNA, 64 nt
Filed under: Cavia porcellus (domestic guinea pig)
Lineage: Eukaryota; Metazoa; Chordata; Mammalia; Rodentia; Caviidae
Rfam family: tRNA
About the family: Transfer RNA (tRNA) molecules are approximately 80 nucleotides in length. Their secondary structure includes four short double-helical elements and three loops (D, anti-codon, and T loops).
Source: Rfam by way of RNAcentral
GGGGAUUUAGCUCAGCUACAUAAGCGCCUGCCUUGCAAGCAGGCAGUUGUGAGUUCAAUCCCCG